This is a long non-coding RNA of Syngnathoides biaculeatus (alligator pipefish), 801 nucleotides long. RefSeq lists it as uncharacterized. The record is from RefSeq and is a predicted model, not a curated record. The transcript is spliced from 2 exons. Lineage: Eukaryota; Metazoa; Chordata; Actinopteri; Syngnathiformes; Syngnathidae.
UGUUACUGUCAUAGUAGAAGAAGAAAUCGGAGAUGCCGAGUUGCUGUUACUGCUAAGUACAAUUUUUUAAAUUCUCUUUGUCAUUUUUCAUUGUGGCGACAAGUUAUCCCAACACGAGCGGUUCCUGUUCUAUUUUUGUCCAGCAACAGAUUUCAGAUUGCCUCUCGUUCCCUCUUUUGCAUCACAAUCGCAAAACUGUUUGCCACUGUAAAUAACAUUCAACAUUGUCGAUUGUCAGCUCCGACUGUUUUCCGAGCAGAUUAGGUAAAAAAAACAAAAAAGGAUGUUUAAGAACACCCCACUUGGGAUAAUUUUUCAUCUCCUUUAUCAACAUUGUUGACAAGUGAUUGAGUCCGCCAUGUUGUACUGAGCAGCUUUCCUCAUUUCAAUUCUAUGCUCAUCACAUUUUGUCGUCUGACAUCACACUAAAUGGCAACCAGAAAGCAUCAUAAAUGAAUAUUGGACUUUAGAUGCCCAUUGAGGAGGACACGAGUCACCACUCCGCUUCCUCGAAAUGUCAUUCCAACAUGAACGUUUGAGGUCAGCCGCACAUUCAGCGGCUUGAAAGUCGUCGCGACCAUUCGGGAAGUUCCACUGUCGCUCAUUUUGCAAAGUGGUGUCUGCAGCAUGGUAUGCGAUGUGCCAGAUAUGAAGACGAGUGAUCUCAUUUGAAGUCGUGGCCCACGGAGUGAGGAAGCGGACUUUCCCCCUUCUCAAAAAUGGAUAAACGCUGCUAAAGCCUUGCGAGUCACUUCACUCGGCUCAAUGAGUAAAUGGACAAUAAAGGUGCCAUUUUGUGGG